RNAcentral lists this ribosomal RNA (728 nucleotides) under uncultured bacterium. RNAcentral describes it as "bacterial SSU rRNA". It matches the Rfam family "Bacterial small subunit ribosomal RNA", at positions 8 to 748 of the family's 1533-position model. The record is from RNAcentral.
AGAGUUUGAUCAUGGCUCAGGACGAACGCUGGCGGCGUGCUUAACACAUGCAAGUCGAGCGAGGCCUCUCCUUCGGGAGGGUGUCCUAGCGGCGAACGGGUGAGUAACACGUGGGCAACCUGCCCUCAGCUCUGGGAUAACUCCAAGAAAUUGGGGCUAAUACCGGAUAUGACCGCUGACCGCAUGGUCUGGUGGUGGAAAGAUUUAUCGGCUGGGGAUGGGCCCGCGGCCUAUCAGCUUGUUGGUGGGGUAGUGGCCUACCAAGGCGACGACGGGUAGCCGGCCUGAGAGGGUGACCGGCCACACUGGGACUGAGACACGGCCCAGACUCCUACGGGAGGCAGCAGUGGGGAAUAUUGCGCAAUGGGCGGAAGCCUGACGCAGCGACGCCGCGUGGGGGAUGACGGCCUUCGGGUUGUAAACCUCUUUCAGCAGGGACGAAGCGCAAGUGACGGUACCUGCAGAAGAAGCACCGGCCAACUACGUGCCAGCAGCCGCGGUAAUACGUAGGGUGCAAGCGUUGUCCGGAAUUAUUGGGCGUAAAGAGCUCGUAGGCGGUUUGUUGCGUCGGCUGUGAAAUCCCGAGGCUCAACCUCGGGUCUGCAGUCGAUACGAGCAAACUAGAGUGUUGCAGGGGAGACUGGAAUUCCUGGUGUAGCGGUGAAAUGCGCAGAUAUCAGGAGGAACACCGGUGGCGAAGGCGGGUCUCUGGGCAACAACUGACGCUG